UAGUGCUCUUGCUGUGACCCUAUAUGUCCUGUUGAUGAAGUUAGGUGCUGUUCUGAGCAUUAUUUGUGGCGUUUUGGUUGAGGUUUGUUUAUGGCUCCUCAGACCGCUGUGUAUUGCUAUCCUGCGGUCGUUACUAAAGUUGGUAUAACUAGAGAAGGAAGUGGUCAGCAACAAUCAUCUCUCAGGGGGGUGUCUGACUCUGUGUUA
Non-coding RNA from Xyrichtys novacula (pearly razorfish), 207 nucleotides. The record is from the annotation of a GenBank genome assembly. NCBI's taxonomy places the organism in Eukaryota, Metazoa, Chordata, Actinopteri, Labriformes, Labridae.